UACGGAGGGUGCGAGCGUUGUCCGGAAUCACUGGGCGUAAAGGGCGCGUAGGCGGCAUGCCAAGCGUGUGGUGAAAACCCGGGGCUCAACUCCGGGCCUGCAGCCGAUACGGGCAGACUAGAGUUCGGCAGGGGAGACUGGAAUUCCUGGUGUAGCGGUGAAAUGCGCAGAUAUCAGGAGGAACACCGGUGGCGAAGGCGGGUCUCUGGGCCGAUACUGACGCUGAGGAGCGAAAGCGUGGGGAGCGAACAGG
This 253-nucleotide ribosomal RNA is filed under the name uncultured bacterium. RNAcentral's name for it is "partial 16S ribosomal RNA". It matches the Rfam family "Bacterial small subunit ribosomal RNA", at positions 524 to 776 of the family's 1533-position model. The record is from RNAcentral.